RNAcentral lists this ribosomal RNA (492 nucleotides) under uncultured bacterium. RNAcentral's name for it is "partial 16S ribosomal RNA". It matches the Rfam family "Bacterial small subunit ribosomal RNA", at positions 29 to 507 of the family's 1533-position model. The record is from RNAcentral.
AGUGAACGCUGGCGGUAGGCCUAACACAUGCAAGUCGAACGGCAGCACAGUAAGAGCUUGCUCUUACGGGUGGCGAGUGGCGGACGGGUGAGGAAUACAUCGGAAUCUACUUUUUCGUGGGGGAUAACGUAGGGAAACUUACGCUAAUACCGCAUACGACCUACGGGUGAAAGCAGGGGAUCUUCGGACCUUGCGCGAUUGAAUGAGCCGAUGUCGGAUUAGCUAGUUGGCGGGGUAAAGGCCCACCAAGGCGACGAUCCGUAGCUGGUCUGAGAGGAUGAUCAGCCACACUGGAACUGAGACACGGUCCAGACUCCUACGGGAGGCAGCAGUGGGGAAUAUUGGACAAUGGGCGCAAGCCUGAUCCAGCAAUACCGCGUGAGUGAAGAAGGCCUUCGGGUUGUAAAGCCCUUUUGUUGGGAAAGAAAAGCAGCAGGUUAAUACCCCGCUGUUCUGACGGUACCCAAAGAAUAAGCACCGGCUAACUUCGUG